RNAcentral lists this ribosomal RNA (445 nucleotides) under uncultured bacterium. Its description in RNAcentral is "partial 16S ribosomal RNA". It matches the Rfam family "Bacterial small subunit ribosomal RNA", at positions 354 to 796 of the family's 1533-position model. The record is from RNAcentral.
GUGAGGAAUAUUGGUCAAUGGGCGGGAGCCUGAACCAGCCAAGUCGCGUGAAGGAAGAAGGAUCUAUGGUUCGUAAACUUCUUUUGCAGGGGAAUAAAGUGCAGGACGUGUCCUGUUUUGUAUGUACCCUGAGAAUAAGGAUCGGCUAACUCCGUGCCAGCAGCCGCGGUAAUACGGAGGAUCCGAGCGUUAUCCGGAUUUAUUGGGUUUAAAGGGUGCGUAGGUGGUUUGAUAAGUCAGCGGUGAAAGUUUGCAGCUUAACUGUAAAAAUGCCGUUGAAACUGUCGGACUUGAGUGUAAAUGAGGUAGGCGGAAUGCGUGGUGUAGCGGUGAAAUGUAUAGAUAUCACGCAGAACUCCGAUUGCGAAGGCAGCUUACUAAGCUACAACUGACACUGAAGCACGAAAGCGUGGGGAUCAAACAGGAUUAGAAACCCCGGUAGUCC